Molecule: ribosomal RNA, 404 nt
Filed under: uncultured bacterium
Lineage: Bacteria
Description: bacterial SSU rRNA
Rfam family: Bacterial small subunit ribosomal RNA
Source: RNAcentral
UUUUGGACAAUGGGCGCAAGCCUGAUCCAGCAAUGCCGCGUGCAGGAAGAAGGCCUUCGGGUUGUAAACUGCUUUUGUACGGAACGAAACGGUCCUGGUUAAUACCUGGGGCUAAUGACGGUACCGUAAGAAUAAGCACCGGCUAACUACGUGCCAGCAGCCGCGGUAAUACGUAGGGUGCAAGCGUUAAUCGGAAUUACUGGGCGUAAAGCGUGCGCAGGCGGUUUUGUAAGACAGGCGUGAAAUCCCCGGGCUUAACCUGGGAAUGGCGCUUGUGACUGCAAAGCUGGAGUGCGGCAGAGGGGGAUGGAAUUCCGCGUGUAGCAGUGAAAUGCGUAGAUAUGCGGAGGAACACCGAUGGCGAAGGCAAUCCCCUGGGCCUGCACUGACGCUCAUGCACGAGG